RNAcentral lists this ribosomal RNA (253 nucleotides) under uncultured bacterium. RNAcentral describes it as "partial 16S ribosomal RNA". It matches the Rfam family "Bacterial small subunit ribosomal RNA", at positions 524 to 776 of the family's 1533-position model. The record is from RNAcentral.
UACGAGGGGUGCAAGCGUUGCUCGGAAUUAUUGGACGUAAAGGGUAGGUAGGUGGUCUCAUUUGUCUGAGGUGAAAGCCUUGAGCUUAACUCAAGAAGUGCCUUAGAAACGGUGAGACUGGAGUCCUGGAGAGGGUCGUGGAAUUCCCGGUGUAGCGGUGAAAUGCGUAGAGAUCGGGAGGAACACCAGCGGCGAAGGCGGCGACCUGGACAGGUACUGACACUCAACUACGAAAGCGUGGGUAGCAAACAGG